Molecule: non-coding RNA, 120 nt
Filed under: Palpitomonas bilix
Lineage: Eukaryota
Source: RNAcentral
UAUCUAGCCUUCGUAUGUACUUACCUCUCACAUGAUUGCGUAUUAUUUGAUUAAAUAUGGUUAUCCAACACUGUGAUGACCCCAUUCAUUGUAUUCACACUUUCAUAAUGAGUGCGUGUG